CCCCGUCAGGACGAACGCUGGCGGCGUGCCUAAUACAUGCAAGUCGAGCGGACAGAAGGGAGCUUGCUCCCGGAUGUUAGCGGCGGACGGGUUGAGUAACACGUGGGUAACCUGCCUGUAAGACUGGGAUAACUCCGGGAAACCGGAGCUAAUACCGGAUAGUUCCUUGAACCGCAUGGUUCAAGGAUGAAAGACGGUUUCGGCUGUCACUUACAGAUGGACCCGCGGCGCAUUAGCUAGUUGGUGAGGUAACGGCUCACCAAGGCGACGAUGCGUAGCCGACCUGAGAGGGUGAUCGGCCACACUGGGACUGAGACACGGCCCAGACUCCUACGGGAGGCAGCAGUAGGGAAUCUUCCGCAAUGGACGAAAGUCUGACGGAGCAACGCCGCGUGAGUGAUGAAGGUUUUCGGAUCGUAAAGCUCUGUUGUUAGGGAAGAACAAGUGCAAGAGUAACUGCUUGCACCUUGACGGUACCUAACCAGAAAGCCACGGCUAACUACGUGCCAGCAGCCGCGGUAAUACGUAGGUGGCAAGCGUUGUCCGGAAUUAUUGGGCGUAAAGGGCUCGCAGGCGGUUUCUUAAGUCUGAUGUGAAAGCCCCCGGCUCAACCGGGGAGGGUCAUUGGAAACUGGGAAACUUGAGUGCAGAAGAGGAGAGUGGAAUUCCACGUGUAGCGGUGAAAUGCGUAGAGAUGUGGAGGAAACACCAGUGGCGAAGGCGACUCUCUGGUCUGUAACUGACG
RNAcentral lists this ribosomal RNA (745 nucleotides) under bacterium EAB-2EM16.04. RNAcentral describes it as "bacterial SSU rRNA". It matches the Rfam family "Bacterial small subunit ribosomal RNA", at positions 19 to 745 of the family's 1533-position model. The record is from RNAcentral.